UGGUACUCCUUUCGGUCAAGAGGAAAACCCAAGCUAUUCAGGAUUCAUCAAAAUAUUCCUAUGGUUUUUUAACAGGCUGUUUCUCUGGAAAGUGGGAGGAAGCACUGUCUUGUCACUCAGGUGAAAGUUUUCUGCAGCAUGUUGGAGACUGUCAACAAAUGUGACUGAGCAGAAGAGCAUCUUCUGGAAAUCAGAGACGUCACAAAGUGCUCAAAUUUCCAGCAAUGGCAUCUUUCUUUUCUAAUGAGGAGGAGCCAAUGUAAAUGCCCCUGAGGAAAGCCUUAAGGCAGUUUAGCCAACAUAGCAGGGUACAAUAUUAAAGACUGAGAUUUGGCCACUUCUGCAGAAUUAGAGACCCAAUUCAUUUAAAAAAUGAGAUCCAGUGCAAGAGCAUUAACUUUUCCAGACCUGCUUCCUUCCUGACCUCACUGCUUAUUCGACUGUAAAACAACUGAUGCUGCAGUUUUCAAAGAGAUCUGCUCCUGACCUUUUUUUUAUCUCUGCAUCUCACCCUGAAGCUAACAUAAAGUGCAACAGAAGCCAGAUCUACCUGAGCAAGCCCACACAGAAGUCAGAGGGCUUCCUUGGAGAGUUGGCUGCUGGCUCACAAGGACUUCCCUCAGGAAAGGAAAAUAAGAAGGUUGUGUUUGUUUCGCACUUUCUCGAGAACCAGAAGACUGACCAUAAGGAAACAAAAGUCUUAUCUGAGCAUGGAGAAGGAAGUAAGGGGAAAUAAGAAUUACAAUGAAAAAGGCUCAAAACCUCACAAUUUCUAUGUGUGGCCUGAAAAAUAAGGUGCUGAAGUAGAAGUCAGAGCUUCAAAAGCUGGAAGUCUGUGUAAGACCAACCUUCCCUAUGUAAAAUGGGGAUAACAAGUAGCACAAACACCUAGAGAAUUUUUAAGAAUAGCAACUUAAUAACCACAUGGUACUUGACAUCCAGGGAGAGCUUCAGGAAUGCUAAAUAUUCUUAAAAUCUUGACAUUCCACAAUGAUUUUGGUUUGAUGUCUGCAAAGGGGUGUUUUCUGUUUCAGGGACCAGCUGCACUCUCACUUCUUAAGUGAAGGUUCUUCCCUGAAAUAGAAAGAGAUCCAGGUUGAUGGGAUGCAACAGUGCCAUUGCUGCUCUGUUCACUCUUAAUUACUGGUGUGGUGACAAGAGCAGUAUGAAUCAAGUCAGUCCAGCCAGGAGAUCUUACCACAGGCUGGUUAACCUCUACAUUAAUAUGAACAUCUGACACUACAUUUUCUAGAAGGCAUUAAAACAAGGGUAAAACCUUGGGGGAGGCCACUAGCUUGUAUGUAUGGGUCAAGGUGGGGGGAACAGAGGCCCUGAGCAGGAAGCUCCAUGGCUUGAACUGGUUCAACCCUCCCUUUUGCCUGUGAUGUGGAGCCCACUCAGACUUGGAGCCCAGUGUGAAGGAGGGCAAUGAACUCAGGUGGGGUUUGCUGCAUAGUGGUUGCAUAUGUGCCUCUAGGCAGGUCCAAAGCACAAAAAAAAAAAAAAAUACACUGCUCUUGGUAAUCAGAGUGGAAUGAUGUAUUUGCUUUCUUUCCAUUUUAAAACAGAAAUCCAGCCUGAGUAUUUUAAAUAGCUGCAUUUCUCUAGGAAAGGCAUUUGUUUACUUAAGUGCCUGUAAAAUUUGUCAGAACAAGAGUAUGGGAAAUAGAAAGACUCAUGUUACUCACAGAACAAGUAUAACAAGUUCUGCAAGUUCUCUUCCAAUGUUUCACCAAUUCACUCUGCUCAAAACUGGCAGAUUAGACUUCAUCCUAAACACAGUGGAGAGAUUUUCUUUAGUUUACGAAUUAGAUGCUUCAGCGUCUUUAUAAAUCUGGGCCUAACACAUAUAACUACCUCCCACCCAAAUAGCAAUGGCAUUGCUAACAGGCUCCAGUUUUGCUGGAGACAGGGCCAGGAUAUUGAGAAACUUUCUCUGCUGACACUUGGCCCA
This is a long non-coding RNA of Motacilla alba alba, 1954 nucleotides long. RefSeq lists it as uncharacterized. NCBI's taxonomy places the organism in Eukaryota, Metazoa, Chordata, Aves, Passeriformes, Motacillidae. The transcript has 4 exons. The record is from RefSeq and is a predicted model, not a curated record.